GAUGAACGCUGGCGGCGUGCCUAAUACAUGCAAGUCGAGCGAACAGACGAGGAGCUUGCUCCUCUGACGUUAGCGGCGGACGGGUGAGUAACACGUGGAUAACCUACCUAUAAGACUGGGAUAACUUCGGGAAACCGGAGCUAAUACCGGAUAAUAUAUUGAACCGCAUGGUUCAAUAGUGAAAGACGGUUUUGCUGUCACUUAUAGAUGGAUCCGCGCCGCAUUAGCUAGUUGGUAAGGUAACGGCUUACCAAGGCAACGAUGCGUAGCCGAACUGAGAGGGUGAUAGGCCACACUGGAACUGAGACACGGUCCAGACUCCUACGGGAGGGAGCAGUAGGGAAUCUUCCGCAAUGGGCGAAAGCCUGAUGGAGCAACGCCGCGUGAGUGAUGAAGGUCUUCGGAUCGUAAAACUCUGUUAUUAGGGAAGAACAAAUGUGUAAGUAACUAUGCACGUCUUGACGGUACCUAAUCAGAAAGCCACGGCUAACUACGUG
RNAcentral lists this ribosomal RNA (497 nucleotides) under uncultured bacterium. RNAcentral's name for it is "partial 16S ribosomal RNA". It matches the Rfam family "Bacterial small subunit ribosomal RNA", at positions 28 to 507 of the family's 1533-position model. The record is from RNAcentral.